AGGGUUCGAUUCUGGCUCAGGAUGAACGCUGGCGGCGUGCCUAACACAUGCAAGUCGAGCGGAGAUAAUGAGAGAUUCUUUAGAUGAUCUCCUUAUCUUAGCGGCGGAUGGGUGAGUAACACGUGGGUAACCUGCCCUGCACAGGGGGAUAACAGCUGGAAACGGCUGUUAACACCGCAUAUGCACACGCUGCCGCAUGGCAGGGGGUGGAAAGAUUUAUCGGUGCAGGAUGGGCCCGCGUCGGAUUAACUAGUUGGCAGGGUAACGGCCUACCAAGGUGAUGAUCCGUAGCCGACCUGAGAGGGUGACCGGCCACAUUGGGACUGAGACACGGCCCAAACUCCUACGGGAGGCAGCAGUGGGGGAUAUUGCACAAUGGGCGAAAGCCCUGAUGCAGCGACGCCGCGUGAAGGAAGAAGUAUUUCGGUAUGUAAACUUCUAUCAGCGGGGAAGAAGAUGACGGUACCCGACUAAGAAGCCCCGGCUAACUACGUGCCAGCCGCCGC
Molecule: ribosomal RNA, 506 nt
Filed under: uncultured bacterium
Lineage: Bacteria
Description: bacterial SSU rRNA
Rfam family: Bacterial small subunit ribosomal RNA
Source: RNAcentral